UACGUAGGUGGCAAGCGUUAUCCGGAUUUACUGGGUGUAAAGGGCGUGUAGGCGGGACUGCAAGUCAGAUGUGAAAACCAUGGGCUCAACCUGUGGCCUGCAUUUGAAACUGUAGUUCUUGAGUACUGGAGAGGCAGACGGAAUUCCUAGUGUAGCGGUGAAAUGCGUAGAUAUUAGGAGGAACACCAGUGGCGAAGGCGGUCUGCUGGACAGCAACUGACGCUGAGGCGUGAAAGCGUGGGAAGCAAACAGG
RNAcentral lists this ribosomal RNA (253 nucleotides) under uncultured bacterium. Its description in RNAcentral is "partial 16S ribosomal RNA". It matches the Rfam family "Bacterial small subunit ribosomal RNA", at positions 524 to 776 of the family's 1533-position model. The record is from RNAcentral.